Long non-coding RNA from Xenia sp. Carnegie-2017, 107 nucleotides. RefSeq lists it as uncharacterized. NCBI's taxonomy places the organism in Eukaryota, Metazoa, Cnidaria, Anthozoa, Malacalcyonacea, Xeniidae. The record is from RefSeq and is a predicted model, not a curated record. The transcript has 3 exons.
AAAACAGGUCAGGGAACUGAAGAGAAAGAUAACGAAAAAUGCAAGUGGCUCCAAUUCUGAAACCAAAAAAUAAAGAAGAAAGCAAUGUCAAGCAAAAAAUUCAUUUA